CUAAAAAACCCCCCUCAUACAUUUUAAGACCUCAAAUCAGGUGGGACUACCCGC
RNAcentral lists this ribosomal RNA (54 nucleotides) under Puccinia recondita. RNAcentral describes it as "partial 28S ribosomal RNA". The record is from RNAcentral. Lineage: Eukaryota; Fungi; Basidiomycota; Pucciniomycetes; Pucciniales; Pucciniaceae.